GCUGGCGGCAUGCCUAACACAUGCAAGUCGAACGAAGCCUUCGGGCUUAGUGGCGCACGGGUGCGUAACACGUGGGAAUCUGCCCUUCGGUUCGGAAUAACAGUUAGAAAUGACUGCUAAUACCGGAUGAUGACGAAAGUCCAAAGAUUUAUCGCCGAAGGAUGAGCCCGCGUAGGAUUAGGUAGUUGGUAGGGUAAUGGCCUACCAAGCCGACGAUCCUUAGCUGGUCUGAGAGGAUGAUCAGCCACACUGGGACUGAGACACGGCCCAGACUCCUACGGGAGGCAGCAGUGGGGAAUAUUGGACAAUGGGCGAAAGCCUGAUCCAGCCAUGCCGCGUGAGUGAUGACGGCCUUAGGGUUGUAAAGCUCUUUUACCCGGGAAGAUAAUGACGGUACCGGGAGAAUAAGCCCCGGCUAACUUCGUG
This 426-nucleotide ribosomal RNA is filed under the name uncultured bacterium. Its description in RNAcentral is "bacterial SSU rRNA". It matches the Rfam family "Bacterial small subunit ribosomal RNA", at positions 35 to 507 of the family's 1533-position model. The record is from RNAcentral.